AGACCACAAAGCACAAACUGUUUGACACGCAAAUAACUAAGCACAAAUCAGUUCCACUCCGGGCAGAAGCAACGCCUGUGUCUCAUGUUCACUGUGAGGAUCUUCUGAGUGAAGCCAACAGAAGGAAAACCUCAUCUGAUUGUGAAGAAGGAGACUGAAUGGACGACAUCCUCAGUGAACCACUUCCUGUUUAGCUUUCACUCACAGAAGAAACAGACCAACUCUUUCAGCAGUGUAUUAUUCUCUGUUCUUAGUAUUCACAGGUUCCAUUUAUCACCUUUAACUUCAUCUCUGCUGUUGUAGCAUAAUGAUAAUACAGAGUACAUGUUGCCAUUAUUUAUAGCAGAUAUGCUGCAUUAAAACAUCAGCACAUUCAGAACAGAAGCUUCAUUAAAUACAUAUAAUGAAUGUAUGAAAUAAUGUGUUGCUGACAGUGAAGCGUAAAUACUGAACAGUCACAAGACAACUUGUAUUAUGAAGAGAGGAGCUGAAUCUGCAGUAUUAUUGUUAUUACUGGAAGGAUGAGGAGGACAUAGUGCUGCUCUUCCUCACAGUGAUGAAGGAGAAAAGACUCUUCAGACAACCACAGCUGGAUGGUCAUGUUCUCUGUAGCUCUCAGUCCAUCAGACCAGAUGUUCCCAAUAACCCAGACCAAAGCUGGAAGGAAAAGACACUAACAGUGAGGAAAAGAUCUACAAGAUUCUUUCAUUCUAACUGCUGGAACGUUAAAUAUCAGAGUGAACACAUCAGCAUAUGAGUGGAACACAAUAGAGUGUUGUAUUUUUUUUUUUUUUUAAAGCGGGCAAGUUGGUCCAUCACUCUGAGCUGCCCAGUUGCUUAGGCAUCAGAUUGGGCUUAAAAUGUCUCUUUGCUGCCGCUGGAUCAUAUUUAUUUGGGGUUAUUCCAUCUGAUGGUUGUCCACUUUGAAAAUACCUGCGAUGUAAAGCUGUGUACUUCACAUCAGACUCAAGUCUUGCCUGUAGGGCAGCACACAGGUUGGCUAGCUCCUGGCUGCAGAAGAAUGGCGGUUGCAUUAUCCACCCACACACCCCGUCAAUGCUGCCAUCCUUCUCAUCUGACAUCAUGUCAGUGGUGAUGCCCCUCCACAACUCCAUUUCAUCUGAAGCAAGUACUGUCUUCCUUGGAUCCAGUUGCUGUGAACACAGUCAGUACAGGAACUCAAUAUCAAUACAUUCACUAAUCUAUC
Molecule: long non-coding RNA, 1207 nt
Organism: Amphiprion ocellaris (clown anemonefish)
Lineage: Eukaryota; Metazoa; Chordata; Actinopteri; Pomacentridae
Source: Ensembl